GUGGCGAGGGGUCUGGGCGGCGGUGGGGGUGGGGGGGUGGCCGGCGGCCCCUCCCCGCCUGCGCAGCACGCGCGAGCUAAUCUGCGGCUUUUCAGUUGCCGCGUGAAAAAGCCCUUUGUUCCGCCUUCUUCCCGGGCCUUUGUGCGGCGGCUCCAGGCCUGAAAGGCCCGUGUCCAACACAUGUCUCGGGCGGCGGCCCAGAGAGGCCCCGCCAGCUCCGGCCGCCGCUUCCCGGCGCUGAUAACGCGGGCGGGGGGCGCCGCCGGGCUGCGCGGCCCACAAAGGCCUCGAAUGCCAAGCAAGGGCGCAUUGUGCGACGAGGACAAAGAAGCUCGGCAGGGCGGGGCUCAGCCUGAGCCGCCAGGCCCCUCCCACAGGGCGGAGAGGGGCCCUUUCCCCAUCUCCCAGAAGGGAAACUGAGGCCCAGGAAGUUUCCUCCUCUUAAGAAUGGAGAUACUAUCAAUACCUGCCUUACUGCUGACCCCGCGGCGGCGAGGAUUAGACAAGCGACUAGCCGCACAACACUCGCGAGAGCACUGGGCACCUGCCGCGUGCCCGGUGGGUCAGCUCUGAUGCUUUUUGCCAGGCCUGAGGGCGGGCUUUACACGCGUAACUAUCUGCAUAGACAGCGCACACACAGGCACGAUAAACACGAAAGGCUGAGGCUCCCGCGUGUAUGGCCUGCCCAGCGCUCCCCUGUGGGCUCGGGGAGGACACCUAACCACACAGAGAGUAAGAAGCAGGGGUGGACACGAACCGGAGGCUGGACUCAAGAAGCUGACAAUAAUGGGUGAAACCAUUCCUUCCUCUUUCAAGCGGCAUGACACUGGGAGAGUCACUUCUCCUCUCUGUGCUUCAGCUCCCUGAUUCCUCCUGAGGGGGAAAUGCCACAAUACAAGGCACUGUCCACUCUCCCCAGUGCAGAACUCAGAAGGACAUCACUCUGUGUAUCUGCACCUCUGCAUUCCCCAGGUGCCUAAUGUGGUAGGCAAAAUCUCCCAGGACACCACUUAAUGUCUUCACCUCCAGGAACAUACCAAGCCGCCCCUGCCUCAGGACCUUUGCACUCGCUGUUCCCUCCACCUGAACCUGACCGCUCUUCCUCACAGCUUCACAGGUCGGCCUCUCUCUGUAUCUGAUCUCAGCUCAUCUGUCAACUCCUCAACUACUCAUUCCAUAGAAGCCCCUGCUGCCCCAACCCUCCUUAUCCCAUUACCCUGUUUACUCCCUUCAUAGCUCUUCUCAGCAAUUAUUUCAAGACUGUGUCAACGAAUGCUUCACUACUUGUUGACUGUGUCCCCGCCCCGGGAGAAGGCAGACUCUACGCGUCUGGGGAAGAGGCUUUUUUACCUUUGUUUCCCCUUGACUCAACGUGUAGGUGGUGACUUGAGUCCCUGACCCUUAGAGAUCAGGAGCUGGGAUACAAGCUGGGCUCUGGGCAGUACAUGGGUCCCAUGAGGAGCCCUUCUGUCUCUCAGUGGCACCUCACCGGCCUCUUGUUUCCAUGUCUGUCCUCUGUAGGCGGGGGUGCUCCUCCCCAGCUCUGCCCUUGGCUGAGUCAGCUUCCCCGGGCCUGGCUCAGGGCCGGGCGGGCAUGAGGAGGAGCUGGGUAAAUGUUUGUGGUGUUAAAUUGGACCUGUCUCGAGCUCCUCCUCGCUGAGGAGCCCCAGGGAAGGGGCCAGCAAAGAGAGAUGAAAGAAGGUGAGAAGCUGGUUUCAAAGUUGGCCCUUUCCGAGCAGAUAAAAGCCGGAGGAAAGGGAAG
Long non-coding RNA from Felis catus (domestic cat), 1762 nucleotides. RefSeq lists it as uncharacterized. The record is from RefSeq and is a predicted model, not a curated record. The transcript is spliced from 4 exons. NCBI's taxonomy places the organism in Eukaryota, Metazoa, Chordata, Mammalia, Carnivora, Felidae.